GAACGCCUCGGGACGCAGCAGUGGGGAAUAUUGGGCAAUGGGCGCAAGCCUGACCCAGCAACGCCGCGUGAAGGAAGAAGGCCCUCGGGUUGUAAACUUCUUUUAUCAAGGACGAAACAAAUGACGGUACUUGAUGAAUAAGCCACGGCUAACUACGUGCCAGCAGCCGCGGUAAUACGUAGGUGGCAAGCGUUAUCCGGAUUUACUGGGUGUAAUGAGCGUGUAGGCGGGGCUGCAAGUCAGAUGUGAAAA
This 252-nucleotide ribosomal RNA is filed under the name uncultured bacterium. RNAcentral's name for it is "partial 16S ribosomal RNA". It matches the Rfam family "Bacterial small subunit ribosomal RNA", at positions 333 to 600 of the family's 1533-position model. The record is from RNAcentral.